UACGGGGGGUGCAAGCGUUACUCGGAAUCACUGGGCGUAAAGGGAGCGUAGGCGUUUUAUUAAGUCUUGAGUGAAAGCUCGCAGCUCAACUGCGGAACUGCUCAGGAAACUGAUAGAAUUGAGUAUGGAAGAGGUAGGUGGAAUUUCCGGUGUAGGGGUAAAAUCCGUAGAUAUCGGAAGGAAUACCAGAAGCGAAGGCGACCUACUGGGACAUUACUGACGCUGAGGCUCGAAAGCGUGGGGAGCAAAC
This 250-nucleotide ribosomal RNA is filed under the name uncultured bacterium. RNAcentral describes it as "partial 16S ribosomal RNA". It matches the Rfam family "Bacterial small subunit ribosomal RNA", at positions 524 to 773 of the family's 1533-position model. The record is from RNAcentral.